AGCGAACGCUGGCGGCAGGCUUAACACAUGCAAGUCGAACGGGCGUAGCAAUACGUCAGUGGCAGACGGGUGAGUAACGCGUGGGAACGUACCUUUUGGUCGGAACAACCCAGGGAAACUUGGGCUAAUACCGGAUAAGCCCUUACGGGGAAAGAUUUAUCGCCAAAAGAUCGGCCCGCGUCUGAUUAGCUAGUUGGUGGGGUAACGGCUCACCAAGGCGACGAUCAGUAGCUGGUCUGAGAGGAUGAUCAGCCACACUGGGACUGAGACACGGCCCAGACU
RNAcentral lists this ribosomal RNA (282 nucleotides) under uncultured bacterium. RNAcentral describes it as "partial 16S ribosomal RNA". It matches the Rfam family "Bacterial small subunit ribosomal RNA", at positions 29 to 337 of the family's 1533-position model. The record is from RNAcentral.